RNAcentral lists this ribosomal RNA (253 nucleotides) under uncultured bacterium. RNAcentral's name for it is "partial 16S ribosomal RNA". It matches the Rfam family "Bacterial small subunit ribosomal RNA", at positions 524 to 776 of the family's 1533-position model. The record is from RNAcentral.
UACGGAGGGUGCAAGCGUUAUCCGGAUUUACUGGGUUUAAAGGGUGCGUAGGUGGUUUAAUAAGUCAGUGGUGAAAUUUACCCGCUUAACGGGCAAGCUGCCAUUGAUACUGUUAAACUUGAAUGUGGUUGAAGUAGGCGGAAUAAAUCAUGUAGAGGUGAAAUUCUUAGAGAUGAUUUAGAACACCGAUUGCGAAGGCAGCUUACUAAGCCAUUAUUGACACUGAUGCACGAAAGCGUGGGGAUCAAACAGG